This 258-nucleotide ribosomal RNA is filed under the name uncultured Leptotrichia sp. Its description in RNAcentral is "partial 16S ribosomal RNA". It matches the Rfam family "Bacterial small subunit ribosomal RNA", at positions 97 to 354 of the family's 1533-position model. The record is from RNAcentral. Lineage: Bacteria; Fusobacteriati; Fusobacteriota; Fusobacteriia; Fusobacteriales; Leptotrichiaceae.
GGCGGACGGGUGAGUAACGCGUAAAGAACUUGCCCUUUAGACUGGGAUAACAGAGGGAAACUUCUGAUAAUACUGGAUAAGUUAGUAUAUCGCAUGAUAUGCAAAUGAAAGCUACGGCACUAAAGGAGAGCUUUGCGUCCUAUUAGCUAGUUGGUAAGGUAAGAGCUUACCAAGGCGAUGAUAGGUAGCCGGCCUGAGAGGGUGGACGGCCGCAAGGGGACUGAGAUACGGCCCUUACUCCUACGGGAGGCAGCAGAA